UACAGAGGGGGCAAGCGUUAUUCGGAAUUAUUGGGCGUAAAGGGCGCGUAGGCGGUUCUUCAAGUCUCUCGUGAAAUCCCUCGGCUUAACUGAGGACGUGCGGGAGAUACUGAAGGGCUUGAGUCCGGAAGAGGGUGGUGGAAUUCCCAGUGUAGCGGUGAAAUGCGUAGAUAUCUACAGGAACUCCGGUGGCGAAAGCGGCGUGCUGGACCUUUUCUGACGCUGAGGCGCGAAAGCUAGGGGAGCAAACGGG
RNAcentral lists this ribosomal RNA (253 nucleotides) under uncultured bacterium. RNAcentral describes it as "partial 16S ribosomal RNA". It matches the Rfam family "Bacterial small subunit ribosomal RNA", at positions 524 to 776 of the family's 1533-position model. The record is from RNAcentral.